This is a non-coding RNA of Plectropomus leopardus (leopard coralgrouper), 391 nucleotides long. The record is from RefSeq and is a predicted model, not a curated record. NCBI's taxonomy places the organism in Eukaryota, Metazoa, Chordata, Actinopteri, Perciformes, Serranidae.
CCACCAACUACUGCAGCUCCUACUACAGUUCCACCACCAGUUGUGGUUCUCCAAUCAGUCUUGGAAGUGACAUUCCAAGAUGAACUUACUGAUUCAAGCAGCUCACAAUUUAGGGAUCUUGAGGCACAAGUUGUAGCAGUGUAUGAUGUCAUCUACAGGACCCAAUUUGGCGCGCUUUUCAUCCGCAGUUUUGUCAUAGCAUUUAGGCCAGCUGCAGCCAGAGAAAGAGCUGUUAAUACUGAGGCAGAGGUGGGGGUCCAGUUCAGUGAAACAGCUUCAUCUGAAGAAAUUCCAACAAGUGAAACUGUUGCAAACACUUUAGUAGAAGCUGUCACUAACCCCAGUAAUAACUUCAGCCUCACCAUUGAUCCCACCUCGGUCCAAGUAGUUG